RNAcentral lists this ribosomal RNA (492 nucleotides) under uncultured bacterium. RNAcentral describes it as "partial 16S ribosomal RNA". It matches the Rfam family "Bacterial small subunit ribosomal RNA", at positions 29 to 507 of the family's 1533-position model. The record is from RNAcentral.
AGUGAACGCUGGCGGUAGGCCUAACACAUGCAAGUCGAACGGCAGCACAGUAAGAGCUUGCUCUUACGGGUGGCGAGUGGCGGACGGGUGAGGAAUACAUCGGAAUCUACUUUUUCGUGGGGGAUAACGUAGGGAAACUUACGAUAAUACCGCAUCCGACCUACGGGUGAAAGCAGGGGAUCUUCGGACCUUGCGCGAUUGAAUGAGCCGAUGUCGGAUUAGCUAGUUGGCGGGGUAAAGGCCCAGCAAGGCGACGAUCCGUAGCUGGUCUGAGAGGAUGAUCAGCCACACUGGAACUGAGACACGGUCCAGACUCCUACGGGAGGCAGCAGUGGGGAAUAUUGGACAAUGGGCGCAAGCCUGAUCCAGCCAUACCGCGUGGGUGAAGAAGGCCUUCGGGUUGUAAAGCCCUUUUGUUGGGAAAGAAAAGCAGCAGGUUAAGACCCCGCUGUUCUGACGGUACCCAAAGAAUAAGCACCGGCUAACUUCGUG